AUGGCUCCGGAGGAGGAAGGAAAAAUACCCCGUUGCACCUGCUCCGUCGAGACUUGUCAUCUGGAUCUGGAGGAGAGCUGUAAAUCAUGUAAAGUGUUCGCGGUGAAAUCGGCUCCUGAGAGCUGUAGGAUUAUGUAUCCAAAUGCUGAAUUUACAAUUCCCACUAGGAAAAGACUGAAACUCAGGUCUGGAGUCACUGAUUAUCCAACACACCUGCACAGAAGAAUUUCAUGUGAUUUGAUGGAUUACAAAUUGCCCAAGAAUUAA
RNAcentral lists this long non-coding RNA (267 nucleotides) under Anas platyrhynchos platyrhynchos (common mallard). RNAcentral's name for it is "lncRNA (ENSAPLG00000021393.1)". Lineage: Eukaryota; Metazoa; Chordata; Aves; Anseriformes; Anatidae. The record is from RNAcentral.